CCCGUCGUUACUCGGUGGCGUGGGGUGGCAAGUUGGCUUGUGUAGCCACUUCUCCGACGAGUGUGUUUUAAUUAAGUCAGCUUGAGUGGUCCAUAUUCACUGGCAAGGCUGUUGUAGCGAGCUCUGACGCUGGGUGCUCGGUGGGAAUCAGCUGGAGCCGUAGCCAAGCCUCUCAUAAGCUCAAUUUAUGACCUGCGGUCCCAGAGAGGGGAUUCAUCGCCACUUGUCGUGUUGGAAGUGGACUACAGCCAAGUGCCUCCACGCCUUGGAAAGGCUGCUGUUCUGUUGUGCUGUGGAUUUGUGGAUGACGGAUUGAACGGCGUGCCUAGUUUGGUUGGGGACUAUUUGUAGUUUAACGCAUGGGGCUACGCAGUGGUGUACUGCCCUCUCUAUAGCUCUACCUGCAUGCCUACGUCUGGUUGUUGUUUUCUUUGAUUUGGCGGCUAUACGGUGUGUUGUCCCGUCCUUUUGCUUGAGUUGCAUGUUUAUUCUGUGUUGUUUUCUUUGAUUUGGUGCCUAUCGCCGGCUAUACCUGGUGUGUUGUCUUGUCUUUUGUUUAACCUGCAUGUUUAUUUUGUUUGUUGUUUUCUUUGAUUUGGUGUAUGCGGUUAUACAGUGCUGUACUGUUUCUCCCUAUGCUUGACUCGCAUGCUUUUCUAACUGUUGGCCUAUUGGUAUCUUUGAGGUGUGUGUGUGUGUGUGUGUGUGUUUGUGUAUGCGUACUGUAACUUAAAUUACUGUGACCAGGGCGGCUUCACUGUCAGGAUCAACCUCUGGGCCCUGGUGGACAGCCUGACUGCCUCCCCUCCCCCUGCCUGAGAUAAGUAGCCUUGUUAGCCUAGUUUGAUAAAUAGGCUAUUGGUGAAUGCCAUAUAAUUACUGUCAAGCCUUUUACCAACUCUUGUGUCUCUGUUCCUCCUCUCUCGCUCUCGCUCUCUCUCGCUCUCUCUCUCUUCCGGACAGGUGUGGUGGGUUUCCCACAGGCGGCAGGCCAACCUUCAGGUGGCGGAGUUCCCCCCUCACUUUUCUCUGCUGUGUACAACGGGUGCUUUAUUCUGAAUUGCAGUGUAAUUGCAGUGUCAUUAUCCUUCAUGUGUGGUGCGUGUCUUCUGGGUCCCUCCUUUUCCCCCUUUUUGGAAGUCCUGCUCGCUGUGGUAAGCCCCCUGCCCUGCUCCACUCCCUUUGAUUACGGGUCACAGGUUAAGCUAUGGCGUAACAGUGUGGUUGCCAUCAUUAACCAUCCAGUAGAUCUGACCCAGGUGUCUCCUGUAUUUACACCUGAUGCAUUGUUUUUAUGGUUGAAUCUGUGUUGUAUGUAUCAAUAAAUCAUGUUAACUUAA
Molecule: long non-coding RNA, 1340 nt
Organism: Alosa alosa (allis shad)
Lineage: Eukaryota; Metazoa; Chordata; Actinopteri; Clupeiformes; Clupeidae
Exons: 4
Source: RefSeq, a predicted model, not a curated record